Molecule: long non-coding RNA, 616 nt
Filed under: Brachypodium distachyon (stiff brome)
Lineage: Eukaryota; Viridiplantae; Streptophyta; Magnoliopsida; Poales; Poaceae
Description: long non-coding RNA (BDIS_LNC001582)
Source: RNAcentral
CCUGAUCUGCAUGCAUGGAUGGAUCCAUCGAUUUGCUCAAGUUGAGUUUCACUUGCAGGUGCACGGGUUGCAGGUGCAGUUGUCCCCGCACUUGCAGCCUCCGUUCUCGGCUCCGGCGGCGGCGGCCUCGAAGCCUGACUUGGUCGCCGGCGGCGCAACGCCCAUGACGAGUGUCUGGGAAGAAGUCGCCUCCUCGGCCAUCAUCUCUGGGUACAUCUUGCACCUAGACAUGAACCGAUUAAUCCACCGUCAGAAUACAUCACCCAUCAAUCAACCAACCAAUUAAUCACAAGACUGUUCAUAUGCAUGUUUCUCUAGAAAAAUCCAUUCCCCAACAUGAAGAAGAACAAGAAGAAGAAACAAGUAAGAAAGGGGAAACUAGAACAAUCUCUGUUUUUCGCCCGGCCAUCAUCUCAUCAAAUCCAGAGAUCCUGACCCAAAGGUGAUCAACAACAAGAUGGAUCCACGAGGAAUUCGAGGGAAAAAGAUGCAAAAUUUAUACUCCUAGAUAAAGAUUAAAGAUGGAUCGAACUAAGUUACCCUCCGCAGCCGUUGCCGCACUUGCAGCCGGACCCGCACCCGCAGUUGCCGCCGCAGCACGACAUGAUUGAACGAU